GACGAACGCUGGCGGCGUGCUUAACACAUGCAAGUCGAACGAACAGGCCCUGCUUUUGUGGUUUUCUUGAUUGGCGAACGCGUGAGUAACACGUGAGUAAACUGCCCUUGACUUUGGGAUAACUUCAGGAAACUGCGGAUCAUACCCGAUAGGAUCUCCUGAUGCAUGGUGGGGAAUGGAAAGUUUCGGCGGUUGGGGAUGGACUCGCGGCUUAUCCGCUUGUUGGUGUGGUAGUGGCUUACCAAGGCUUUGACGGGUAGCCGGCCUGGGAGGUGGACCGGCGACAUGGGGACUGAGAUAGGGACCAGUCGGGAACGGGAGGCAGCGGGCGGGAGUAUGACGCAGCAGGGGGAAGCGUGAGGCAGCGACGCCGGGUGCGGGAUGACGGCCUUCGGGGGAUAAACCGCUUUCGCCUGUGACGAGGCGUGAGUGACGGUAAUGGGUAAAGAAGCACCGGCUAACUACGUG
This 468-nucleotide ribosomal RNA is filed under the name uncultured bacterium. Its description in RNAcentral is "partial 16S ribosomal RNA". It matches the Rfam family "Bacterial small subunit ribosomal RNA", at positions 28 to 507 of the family's 1533-position model. The record is from RNAcentral.